This 554-nucleotide ribosomal RNA is filed under the name uncultured Bacillus sp. RNAcentral's name for it is "bacterial SSU rRNA". It matches the Rfam family "Bacterial small subunit ribosomal RNA", at positions 30 to 564 of the family's 1533-position model. Lineage: Bacteria; Bacillati; Bacillota; Bacilli; Caryophanales; Bacillaceae. The record is from RNAcentral.
UGAACGCUGGCGGCGUGCCUAAUACAUUCAAGUCGAGCGAACAGAAUUGGAGCUUGCUCCAAUGACGUUAGCGGCGGACGGGUGAGUACACGUGGGUAACCUGCCCUACAGACUGGGAUAACUUCGGGAAACCGGAGCUAAUACCGGAUAAUACUUUUUAACACAUGUUAGAAAGUUGAAAGAUGGUUCUGCUAUCACUGUAGGAUGGACCCGCGGCGCAUUAGCUAGUUGGUGAGGUAACGGCUCACCAAGGCAACGAUGCGUAGCCGACCUGAGAGGGUGAUCGGCCACACUGGGACUGAGACACGGCCCAGACUCCUACGGGAGGCAGCAGUAGGGAAUCUUCCACAAUGGGCGAAAGCCUGAUGGAGCAACGCCGCGUGAGUGAAGAAGGAUUUCGGUUCGUAAAACUCUGUUGCAAGGGAAGAACAAGUAGCGUAGUAACUGGCGCUACCUUGACGGUACCUUGUUAGAAAGCCACGGCUAACUACGUGCCAGCAGCCGCGGAUAAUACGUUAGGUGGCAAGCGUUGUCCGGGAAUUAUUGGGCGUAAA